CAGGUCUCCUCACAAAUGAACCUCAGUGCCUGAGACUUUCCUGCCAAGCCACACGGCUGGGACAGGUGCAGACCCAGGUAGUCCAACACUGCUGACCAGGCCUGCAUGGGAUGAGCUGGGUGGCCCAGGCAGAGCUGGAAGCUCUGGUCCCCUUCACCCCCCACACCAUUCCUUCCUGUUGUCCUGCCCGGGCCCUGGCCUCUGGCACGGUGAUGUGGCCCCGGUACAGGCCAGGCCACAGUACAGCAGCUGUGGGGCUGCUGCGGGGACGUUGGAAAGUAGGUACCAUGCUGAGGUAUGGGUCCAGGCUAUUUCAGGACAAAGGUUGUGGUCAGACUUUGCAUGUGCUUUGGGGUCCCUGUGUUUCCUCUGUGGUUGGGCUCCGGUCUGGCCUUUCCCCGGGAGACGUGGACAUCCUGAUGCCUCUUUGCCUUAACAAGAGCCGUAUCUCUGAGCUGCACUGCACCCACCCAUGGGAGAGGCUGACCCAGACACAGGCUGCUUGGGGACUUCAUGUCUCUGUCCUAGGGCAGGAGGCAAGCCUGUGUGACCCUCCCUCACCCUUGGCCUGUGAACAGUGAGCACCUGGGCAUGUGUUCACCUGUGGCAAGGGCUGUGCCUGGCACUCCAGGUCCACCUGGCAUGGGACACCAAGUGGCCAGUGGGGUUGGGUCUGGCUACAGUGGAUCUGUUCUGGGGGGCAGGAGGUGCAGAGCCCCCUGUUUCCCCAGUUCAUCUGUGGCCACCUGCCAGCAAGCUGGGAGGACCAUCUGGCCCAAGUCAUCUGCUCCUUUGAUCAGAUGUGAGUCUGCAGGGGAGCAGGAGGGUGCUGACCUCAGACCUCGCGGCCCCCACCGUUCCUCCUGUACUUGCUCUGGUCUUUAUAUACCGAGCUAAUUUCCUUUUCUCUUUGACCAGUGUCCUGCUCACCCUGAAGUUCUGGCAUCUGCGUAGUUCGUUUCCUUUUAUCUUUUAGCUAAAGAAAAAGUGUUGUGAUUUCUCUGCUUCUGGUUUUGAGUCACUCUUUGUUCAGUAAUGCACUUUAUUUUGUCCAAAGAGAGUCGGGCGUCAACAUAAGGAGUGGGGGUACCUGCCAACAGGCUCGGGCCCAGGCAGCUUAGCCAUCUCCUCUUGCAUAGGGGAGGGGCCCCCAGCUCCACUUUCAUCCUACCUGCCCUUGUGUGGACACACCCUCUCAUGCCACCAGGCACCAGGCACCAUAGCUCAGCGAGGAGGGACCAGGUGCCCGGCCUCCACCAACCAGCCUGCUCCUGGUGCUCCCACUUGGGGCUUGCAGGUGUGUGUCGGUUGGGUUUGUAGUAGCGUUGCCUGGACUCCAGCCCUGCAGUUGAACCAAUAAAAGCACCUGAAGCGAC
RNAcentral lists this long non-coding RNA (1376 nucleotides) under Phocoena sinus (vaquita). Its description in RNAcentral is "lncRNA (ENSPSNG00000015583.1)". Lineage: Eukaryota; Metazoa; Chordata; Mammalia; Artiodactyla; Phocoenidae. The record is from RNAcentral.